GUUUUUUUUUUUUUUUUUUUGGAUAAAAGUAAUCAUCUUUCAAAUAUGGACAUGGCUUACCCACUUAAAUUUCAUUUCUUAAACACAAGAAGAUUCUACAAUCUGUAUUUAAUUACUAAAAGUUGCAUAUGGGAAUAAUCAAAUGACUCAUUGAUUUGAAUCUACAACAGUACUGAGUAGUUGAAACCUUAAAGUAAAGCUAUCACAUAAAACAAGAGGUGAAGUUUGCUAAAACUGAGCAAGCUGCUCAAGUUUACGAGCUUGGAAAAAUCUGCAACGUCCUUUACCACUUGAUUCUAUUUCUUCACUUUUCCUUUUGGGUGUUGUGACACCAAAACUGCUCAACUUCAAUUGUCUUUUCCCACUGCUAGGACAAUCUUCAUCCAUUUUAUCAGAUUCCCACAAGACUUCAACAAUGUCUUUGAAAUGGGAAGUGCAUGUGCCCCAACUGAAGCGGACCAAUGUUGGAAAUCCAAAUACCUGGUGUUUGUGUUGUUCCAACCAGGCCUUGGUUUCAGGAUCUCCAGGAUAUCCAGAACCAAAGUUCCUAUUCAUGCCUUCAGCUGUUUCAUCAAGCACCCAUUCUCGCAAUGCUCGGUCUCGUGUAACCUUUGCAACUAUGCUUGCUCCACUCACAACAGGAUAAAGGCUAUCAGCCUUCUUUGCAACAACAAAUUUGAUAGAAGGAAAUCUUUCGGAUAGUUUUACUCUAUAUUUCUCAGAGUCUCCCACUGUAUCCACAUAAACCUCAGUCAAAAGAACUCCCAUGUUUAGCACCCUAGUGACAAGGCCAAUUGCAGAGUCAUGUGAUAUUUCAUUUAAGUUGAUCUUAUUCUUUUUUAACAUUUUAGCAGAGAGCUCCUUUGGAUCAAUGACAUCAACAGACCAUCCAAUUGCUUCAUUAGCCUUUAAAGUUUCAAAUAAUUCUUCUCUCUUCUCUUCUUUUAGAGUCUUUGAAUCUGCAAAGUUCAAGGUAGAAAGAGUCUUCUCAUAGGAACGAGCACAGUACAAACAUCCAUACACCAUGGGGCCAAGAACAGGACCACGGCCGGCUUCAUCGAUUCCCAUAAUGCAGGGCUUCGAUGCCCAUUUGGGGAGAGUGGAUUGGGGUUCACAUCCCAUUCUGAUUCUGCACUCACUCUCUAUACGCCGUUUUGGUUCCCGCCAGAAUUAGCCAGUUCAGACGCAAAGAGGGUUUUGUUCCGGA
RNAcentral lists this unclassified non-coding RNA (1207 nucleotides) under Hevea brasiliensis (rubber tree). Lineage: Eukaryota; Viridiplantae; Streptophyta; Magnoliopsida; Malpighiales; Euphorbiaceae. The record is from RNAcentral.